This 16-nucleotide unclassified non-coding RNA is filed under the name synthetic construct. Its description in RNAcentral is "RNA (5'-R(*AP*GP*CP*AP*CP*CP*GP*UP*AP*AP*AP*GP*AP*CP*GP*C)-3') from synthetic construct (PDB 6D6Q, chain N)". The record is from RNAcentral.
AGCACCGUAAAGACGC